Molecule: ribosomal RNA, 468 nt
Filed under: uncultured bacterium
Lineage: Bacteria
Description: partial 16S ribosomal RNA
Rfam family: Bacterial small subunit ribosomal RNA
Source: RNAcentral
GACGAACGCUGGCGGCGUGCUUAACACAUGCAAGUCGAACGGAAAGACCCUGCUUUUGUGGGGUGCUCGAGUGGCGAACGGGUGAGUAACACGUGAGUAACCUGCCCUUGACUUUGGGAUAACUUCAGGAAACUGGGGCUAAUACCGGAUAGGAGCUCCUGCUGCAUGGUGGGGGUUGGAAAGUUUCGGCGGUUGGGGAUGGACUCGCGGCUUAUCAGCUUGUUGGUGGGGUAGUGGCUUACCAAGGCUUUGACGGGUAGCCGGCCUGAGAGGGUGACCGGCCACAUUGGGACUGAGAUACGGCCCAGACUCCUACGGGAGGCAGCAGUGGGGAAUAUUGCACAAUGGGCGGAAGCCUGAUGCAGCAACGCCGCGUGCGGGAUGACGGCCUUCGGGUUGUAAACCGCGUUCGCCUGUGACGAAGCGUGAGUGACGGUAAUGGGUAAAGAAGCACCGGCUAACUACGUG